This 777-nucleotide long non-coding RNA is filed under the name Homo sapiens (human). RNAcentral's name for it is "non-protein coding lnc-CTTNBP2-3:1". Lineage: Eukaryota; Metazoa; Chordata; Mammalia; Primates; Hominidae. The record is from RNAcentral.
AAAAAAGGAAGACGCUUCCUGAAGUUGGGGAUGCUGGACUAGUUUUCAUACUAGAUCCCCUCGUGGCAGCAUUAAGGAACUUCACAUUCUUCUCACACUAUUCAUGGAAAGUUCCUGGAACUCCCACAGCAGCAAGAAAACUUCGCUUGUAGGAGUCCUUAGCACAUCUGUAAAGUUUUAUUGGCCAAAAUGUGAUACAUCUCCAUUUCUGGAUCAGUCACUGUGGUCAAGUGCAAGACGCUCUACAGGACUCAACCUGGGGAUGAGGUCUGUCUACUCCAUCCAUAUGGUCACUUUAUACUGAGGUUGGGUAAGUACUCCUAAGGAAAUCAGGUUUGUUUUGGUUGGAAAAAAAAAAUGGAAAUGGAUGCUGAGGUAACAGCCAACAAAUAUCUACUAUUUUCUAAGAUGUGUUUGAAACUAAUGCAAAAAAGCUCUGAGAUUAAGAUGUGUAUGUAGCUCAUCAGUUUAGUUGUAUUUCCUAUAUAUAAUAUUUAUGGUACCUAAACUAUUACUAAGAUGUUUAUUAUUUUAUUUAAAAUUUGGUUGAGGUUUUCUAUAUCAUCCUAAACCUAAGUUUGGAAAUAAAGAUUUAAUGCUAUAUGACAGGUACAAUUGCUAUCUUUUAGUGAAAAGUCCUAAAAAUCUUAUGGUUGAGAAUACAAUAUUUACUUUCUGGAAGCUCUGCUCACAAACUUUCUGGACAAAGAGCAUUAUCCACAAUCACUGCUAACUAAAAGGAUAGAGAAACUUUUCUUAGGCUUUCCUCCAGGAUUG